RNAcentral lists this ribosomal RNA (364 nucleotides) under uncultured eukaryote. RNAcentral's name for it is "partial 18S ribosomal RNA". It matches the Rfam family "Eukaryotic small subunit ribosomal RNA", at positions 592 to 976 of the family's 1831-position model. The record is from RNAcentral.
CAAUAGCGUAUACUAAUGUUGUUGCAGUUAAAAAGCUCGUAGUUGAACUUCUGGUAGGAGUGUCCCGGCCUUUUUGUUUUUACAAAUUGUAUGCUGUGUGACAUCUCUGGCCAUCCUUCUUCUUUGUUUAAAGAAGAUCUUUCACUGUAAAAAAAAUUAGGGUGUUCAAAGCAAAAGUUUCUUUGGAAUAUAUUAGUAUGGGAUGAUAAGAUAGGCUCUAGAUGCUAUUUUGUUGGUUUGCACAUUUAGAGAAUGAUUAACAGGGACAGUUGGGGGUAUUCGUAUUUACAUGUCAGAGGUGAAAUUCUUGGAUUUUGGAAAGACGAACUACUGCGAAAGCAUUUACCAAGGAUGUUUUCAUUAA